Equus quagga is the source of this 1893-nucleotide RNA transcript. It is a transcript of the gene named Yip1 domain family member 1, with no coding region annotated. The record is from RefSeq and is a predicted model, not a curated record. The transcript is spliced from 13 exons. Lineage: Eukaryota; Metazoa; Chordata; Mammalia; Perissodactyla; Equidae.
CCGCCCCCCGGAUCUCCAGCUUCCGGCAACCCGGCGGGCCCGGAUCCUGCGCGGAGCGCUUGAGGCCCGAGCCUUCCCGGCCCGGCUGGACGCCGAGGGCCCGAGAUGAGGAAACUGAGGCCCAAGGAGCCCACAGUUACACAGCGAGAAGCAGCAGAAUCGGGAAGCAAACCCAGACCUCUGCACAUUUCCGCACUAGUAAUUGGGAGAAGCCCCGCUGGCUGAAUGGCAGCUGUGGACGACCUGCGGUUUGAAGAGUUUGGUGAUGCAGCCGCUUCUCUAGCAGCAAACCCAGAUACCACCACAAUCAGCAUCGAGGAUCCUGGUGACACCCCGAAACAUCAGCCAGGACCCCCAGGAGGCUCAGGGAGAGAAGAGGAUGAUGAGUUACUGGGAAACGAUGACUCUGACAAAACUGAGUUACUUGCCGGACAGAAGAAAAGCUCCCCCUUCUGGACAUUUGAAUACUAUCAAACAUUCUUUGAUGUAGACACUUACCAGGUCUUUGACAGAAUCAAAGGGUCCCUUUUGCCGGUACCAGGGAAGAACUUCGUGAGGUUGUACGUCCGCAGCAAUCCGGACCUCUAUGGCCCCUUUUGGAUCUGUGCCACAUUGGUCUUUGCCAUAGCAAUUAGUGGGAACCUUUCCAACUUCUUAAUCCAUCUGGGAGAGAAGACAUACCAUUAUGUGCCUGAAUUCCGAAAAGUGUCCAUAGCAGCAACAGUUGUCUACGCCUACGCCUGGCUGGUCCCUCUCGCACUCUGGGGUUUCCUCAUGUGGAGAAACAGCAAAGUUAUGAACAUCGUUUCCUAUUCAUUUUUGGAGAUUGUGUGCGUCUAUGGAUAUUCUCUCUUCAUUUAUAUCCCCACAGCAAUACUGUGGAUUAUCCCCCAGAAAGCCAUUCGUUGGAUUCUAGUCAUGAUCGCCCUGGGAGUCUCAGGCUCUGUCUUGGCAAUGACAUUUUGGCCAGCUGUUCGUGAGGAUAACCGGCGCAUCGCGUUGGCCACAAUUGUGACAAUUGUCUUGCUUCACAUGCUGCUCUCUGUGGGCUGCUUGGCCUACUUUUUUGAUGCACCAGAGAUGGACCAUCUCCCAACACCCACAGCUGCUCCAAACCAAACAGUUGCAGCAGCCAAGUUGAGCUAAAGAAGAAGAUCCUCCCUAAAUUUUCCUGCCUCACACCGCCUGACUUCAGACAGGGUUAGAGUCCGUGUCCUACCCUCUCACAGGACCUUACACGUUUCCUCCUAUGUGUAGCCACAUGCGUCUUCAAAAAUCUGCAAAUCUGACUGUGCCACUCCUCUACGUAAAAACUGUUUUUUGGCCUCCUGUUGUCUAAAGAACAGAAUCCAGACUCCUUGGAUUACGUGAUCUCUCCCUCUGUUCGUCCUGCCACUGUCCCCUGUAGAACCUCAUGUUUCAACAACCACACAGCGGCUCUGCAGCUCCCAAAUCGGUUUAUCUCCCUCCAUGUUUCCUUUAUAUGUAGUAUAAACACAGAGCUGUCACAAAGAACAGAGAGAAAGAAGGGUGCGUGGAGGUAGUUUUGGGAGCUGGGUCACAGAAAGUUACUGGGUUUGCAGAGAAACAGAGGAAAACUUUAAAAAAUGUCUUCUCCCCCCCCAUGGUAAGUCUCCUUGGAGCUCACAGGUCAGUCUCAGGCUGGAGGUUUGGGACUUGGCAGUGGAGCCACUCCGGUGCCGCGGUGCUGCCUCUAAACCUCUCUUUUGUCUUUUUGGAGUGUGGUUCUUUCGGACAUGGAUCCACUGCAGGAAAGUAGGAUAACCAACGCCAGCAGGACUGACAGAGUGGCACCAACCCCCAGCGUCUGGACAGUGCUGCACCAAAGCCUGGUCAUUUAUUUAACAAACAAAAAUUAAGUGUUGUUCAGCA